AUUGAACGCUGGCGGCAUGCCUUACACAUGCAAGUCGAACGGUAACAGGUCUUCGGAUGCUGACGAUUGGCGCACGGGUGAGUAAUACAUCGGAACGUGCCCGAUCGUCGGGUAUAACGCAGCUACAGCUGUGCUAAUACCGCAUACGAUCUACGGAUGAACGCGGGGGAUCGCAAGACCUCGCUCGGACGGAGCUGCUGAUGGCUGAUUAGGUAGUUGUUGUGAUAAAACCUUACCUAGCCGACGAUCUGUAUCUGGUCUGAGAGAACGACCAGCUACACUGGGACUGAGAAAAGGCCCAGACUCCAAAGGGAGGCAGAAGUGGGGAAUUGUGGACAAUGGGGGAAAGAAUGAUCCAGCCAGGCCGCGUGCAGGAUGAAGGCCUUCGGGUUGUAAAAUGCGUUUGUACGGAACGAAAAGGCUCUGGCUAAUACAGGGGGUGAAUGACGGUACCGUAAGAAUAAGCACCGGCUAACUACGUG
RNAcentral lists this ribosomal RNA (482 nucleotides) under uncultured bacterium. RNAcentral describes it as "partial 16S ribosomal RNA". It matches the Rfam family "Bacterial small subunit ribosomal RNA", at positions 30 to 507 of the family's 1533-position model. The record is from RNAcentral.